CGGGGGGGCGGGGGGGCCUGCCGCUUGUCACUUACUGCUCCGCUGCUGCACAACAGGAAAAGCUCCGGGGCGAUUGCGCCUGCGUGCGGGCCCCUUGCAGCAGUAGCGGCGCACACGCCUGCGGUGGGGGGAUGCAGCGGGAGGUGGUUUCCCUCACCUGGCAGGGGAGAUCCCCGCCUUCUCCGCCUCGAGCGGCUCGGCGCGGGUAGGCACCCCUGCCAGCGCCUCCCAAUGCCAGGAUCUCGGCUGUGCGGCCUUCGGGGCUGCUGUCUGGCUUCCCCUCUGGCCUACUCCUUCCGCCUUCUGGCUACGGGCACCUGAGCCCAGGGGGCACCGGGACUCCAAGGGCUCUGGCACUUAGGGCGCCUGCCAGGGGGUUGGGGCGGAGGAUACUUGCGGGCGGUCUCGUCACGCAGACUUGAACGAUUCAGCCUGCAGGAUUCAGAACCGAUUUGGCGCGAGACACACAAACAAAUAAAGCAGUGGCAUACACAGGUUGGAGGCCAGUCCUAGGACUAUCUGUCACACGCUCCAGCCUGAUCUUGUUUCUUGAUCUUGAUGCUGCUGCUUUGAGUAUACAUAACCGCAGCCCUAGACAACACACCUCAGUUGGAGAGGACACCUGUUCAUGCCUGCCUCUGACUGAUAUCUUGGGUAUGUGCACACAGAGUGGGUGGAGUUGUACGAACCUUUCGUUUACAACCUGGAGUUGUAAACCCAGACUAGUCAUGCCCAACUCAUAGCUCACAGUUACAGACCCAGGGCAGGGUGCCUAGGGCCUGGAGCAAAGCCUGGAGGCUGGGAUAAGCCUCAAGCGAUCUGACCAGGGAGGCCGGGGUCCUACUCGGUGGUUCUUCGGCUGACCAGAUGCAACUAGAGCAAAAAAGGGUGAGGUGUGGCACCGCACCCACCUCAAUACACCCAGCAGCAACCAUCUGGGGCUGCAGCUACCAAGAUUUUAAAUGCAGAGCUUACUACAGGUUUUUGGAUCUAAGGGCAGAUGUGCUGAUUUCAAUGGAGCUAUGUUCAUUUACACCAACUAAGGAUGUGCAUCACAGAAUUUCGGAGUCUCAGAAUCCGUACAUUACCGAGGACCCAGAGUGACUAUGACUGAACACUCUUCUACUUCACCUCUGCUGAACGGGAUUUUUUCUCCACAAUUUUUCUGCUGACACCCCUGCCACUGAUAUCAUCAUCAUGUUGCCAUUGUCUGACUUCCCAUACAGUUGCACUAUAGCUGCUAUGGAAGGUAAACUGUCAGAAUUAACACCAUGAUCAGCUACUCAUUGGAAUAUCCAUAGGUUCAGCUGGAUAAUACUCAGUGGAAAAUGAUGAAUCCUAUCCUGAUCUUUGUCCCCCUCAGCAUUUCUGGGGGCCCAACACUACAGAGCUCUGGCACAGGAGUUUCUAUCAGGUGCUGAAUAUGGAAGUGAGCAAAGCUGGAAAUCCUCCUUCCACUGAAACUUGCUAGUUUUUACUCCUCUCCAGUCUCUGCAGCACAUGAUAAAAUACUGCCCAACAGUCCAUGUCAUUUAGUCUCCCAGGGAUAACGUAGAAUUGUCCCCUGUAGUACUAUAUACCUGCUAUUUCUCUGAAUCUCUGGUUUGUAGGAGCUUGCUAGGACAAAAGCACUUUGGUGGUCAAUAAACAUGUAUGGAGCCAAACCUCAACAUUUAUUUUCAAUCGUCUUCUUAAUUUGGCUAUAAAUUGCAGCUGCACGAAAUUGGGAGAAACGGAGAGGGCCACAUCAACACAUUUUCCAAAGAUUAUUUCCCAGAAUCAUUCCAUGUUAGAUCAUUUCCCCCAAACAUAGGCUCACAAUAUCCAGAAGCACUUUCCAAUAUGUUCUGGAGCCCCUACUCCUAAACUGCAUUAUCCCAAAGGUGUCUAAUUAGUGU
Long non-coding RNA from Alligator sinensis (Chinese alligator), 1898 nucleotides. RefSeq lists it as uncharacterized. The record is from RefSeq and is a predicted model, not a curated record. NCBI's taxonomy places the organism in Eukaryota, Metazoa, Chordata, Crocodylia, Alligatoridae. The transcript is spliced from 5 exons.